GCGAUGAUGAGGUGAAUUGCAGAGUCGGCAAGGCUAGUUCUCGCUGCACUGCUCCUCCAAACCACGACAAUUUCCAACGUAGUAACGUAUCAUUCAGUUACACUACGUGUUCUUAUCGUAUUGGUUUCUCUUUCACCUGUUCCUUACUUAACCCUCCUCCAUACCUUCUUCUCUUUCCCCCUGUCAUUUCCAUACCUUAUUCUUCACACUUCUUUUCCAUCACAUACUUCCCACCAUGGCUGAAAAGGUCACCGUAAUGAGACUCAAGGUUGAUCUCCAGUGCCACAAAUGCUACAAGAAGGUCAAGAGAAUUCUCUGCAAAUUCCCUCAAAUUCGAGACCAGUUUUAUGACGAGAAGCAUGACAUCGUCACCAUAACGGUGGUAUGCUGUAACCCGGAGAAGCUCAGGGACAAGAUUUGCUGCAAAGGCUGUGGGACUAUCAAAAGCAUUGAAAUCGUCGAACCGCCCAAGCCCAAACCACCCGAGAAGCCUAAGCCUGAAAAACCCACCGAACCGGUGAAGCCAGAGAAGCCCAAGCCCGAAAAACCCAUCGAACCGGUGAAGCCAGAGAAGCCCAAGCCCGAAAAGCCCCCUCCCCCGACGAAACCGAAUCCGCCCGCUCCAGAGCCGGUGGCUCCGCCCGCUCCAGUGCCGGUGGCUCCGCCCGCUCCGGUGCCGGUGCCGGUUCCGGUGCCAGCGCCGCCGCCAAGGCCGGUGCCUUGUCCGGUUCCAGAGCCGCCGCCAAGGCCGGUUCCGAUCGGAGUAUGCUGUGUACCAUGCUAUGAAGGUCAGGGAGGUGGACCAUGCUUUCAUGGGCACGGUGGGCCACCACCAUGUUAUGAUAUUUGUUAUGGAAGACCUAUUUACGACAGUUACGGUGGGUGCAGACCCUGUUACGUGAGCCGUUGCGAUGAAUAUUUCUGUGAAGAUAACGCCUCUGCCUGCUCAAUUAUGUGAUCGUCAUCUCCACGAUCACCUUCUGUUUAUUCAUCGAUUCUGUCAUCUGUGCUGUGCCGCUCAUGCAUGCAAUCAUCAACCCAAGGAAUAAUAAUCUUCUUUGUCUUUUUCAGUUUCCAUUGCAUUUGGUGCCGGUGGGGCUUCGAAUUAAAUGGUGGGCGGCUAAUCUCUAUAUAACAACGACACCACCUUGAAUUAUCAAUAUGCUUUUUUGACAAAACAAAGGUAACUUUUUAGCUCCAAUAACACCACUAAUAAUAUUGAAUAAUUAGUCAGUGUCAUGAUAAAUACUCUCAAUUAUUUCCAUUUUGCGUUUACACGGGCUUCGGUUACUCGAUUUGGUGAUGCUCGAUUUUCUUAUGAAAGUAAACCUAACAAAUUCUUUCUUGUUGGUUUCUGGUUACAAACAACAAAAAAUAUAAAUAAGAAUGACACUGGUUUGUUUGUAUUUACAUUAGGAAAUUCUUGUUUUUCACUUGGUAUUUUGCUGGGGGAAUUUUGGGUGAGGAAGGUGACGAUUUAAUGAUGUUAUUGCACGUUGUCUUUUAGAGAAAGAUGAAUGCGCUUUGCCUGCUCAUGCUUUAGUGGUUACUGAACAAUGACUUCAUCGGACAGUGACAAGUUGGCAACCAUGUUCUCUUCUUUCCUACCCAACAACUUAUGAUGUAAUUUGUAUAAAUAGAUGGAUAUGGAUCCAUAUACGCGGAAUCACCGUCGAUCCAAAACACAUCUACUUUAAUUUUGCCUCUUUAAACAGAGAAGGAGAAAAAAUAAAACUUGAAAUGGUUUCUUA
Molecule: non-coding RNA, 1751 nt
Organism: Vigna umbellata (rice bean)
Lineage: Eukaryota; Viridiplantae; Streptophyta; Magnoliopsida; Fabales; Fabaceae
Source: RefSeq, a predicted model, not a curated record